RNAcentral lists this long non-coding RNA (1338 nucleotides) under Mytilus galloprovincialis (Mediterranean mussel). The record is from RNAcentral. Lineage: Eukaryota; Metazoa; Mollusca; Bivalvia; Mytilida; Mytilidae.
UUGAUUUACAUGAUUAUACAUGUUUUGUGAAUUGAGACGUAAGAAUAUGGUAAAUAUGAAUUAUUACUAUUUUGUUUUCUUAUUUUUUCUCAAUGCUCUUGAUCAUCGUUCUUUAUUUGACCAUUUUAACUUUUUUUGAUUCGAGCAUCACUGAUGAGUCUUUUGUAGAUCAAACACACGUCUGGCACAAAUAUAAAAUUUAAAUCCUCUCAUGGGUAAAUUUAUCGAAACAAUUAAUACGUAAUAGGAUGACUCUUACCUAUAAUCAUAAUGUUUAUAAAAGUUUAAGAAAAAUAAAUGAUUAGCUAUACUCAUUUUGAAUGCAUUUAUUUAUGGUUUCGAAUUUGCUUGCCGACCCAAAAGGUAUAAAAAUAAUAAAAAUAUCCAUUUGUAUUGUAGUAAAAUGCAUUGCUUACUAACACAUAACAACAACACGAAGUAAACGAGAAAUGAAAUUGUGAAUGCAUAUUUUGAUAUAUUUUUCCAAAAUUGCCAUAUCAUAUCGAUAAAACAGCACUCAAAUCCCUUUCGCGUGCGAUAAAAAAAAAUGAUGAAAAAGGAAAAUUAAAUCAUCAAUGUUGGUUAAAAUGUAGUCUUUCUUGUUAUUAGUUCAAUAGACCAACUGAAGUUCCAGCCAUGUCAAAAAGACAAUCAGCAGUCUCAGAAAGAAGUACAGAGCACGUGUUUUGUACGUUACAUAACAAAGAAACUACAUUUCUAUGCACGGAAUGUAGGCAAUUUAUUUGUGAUGAAUGCGUGGAAUCAUCACACACAAGACAUGCAUUAAAGUCAAUUUCAAGAAGAACUAACAAUACACUUUUCAUUGAAAUGCUUCAGCAACAAAUUAACUUAUAUAAGGAAGUAUGGCAGGUUGAAUUAGAGGAACAAAUACAAGCUAUAGAUCUCUGCGCAGCAAAACUUGUAGAAAUUAUCAAUAAAAUAAGUGAUUCAUACAAAGAAGAGAUCCUCCGAAAAGGUACACAGAACAAAUCAAUUCUAAAGGAGAUCGGAGAUGAGUCUGACAACAACAAUCCACAGGCAUUAUCGUUGAUACACACAACUUUUAAACCGUUAACAAUAGAUAUACUUGGAAUAAAGCGAGAGUUUGGUAAACUGUGUGCAAACGAAACAAAUGUUAAUAUGCAGCCAGGAUUCAGCUGGCCAAGUUUAUUUCAAGUAAACAAUCUGUCUGCAGAAGGCCAAAAAGGUUUUGUCUAUCGUGGUAUGUCAUCAGAUUCUGAAGACGAAUACGAUCAUUGUGGUUCAUAAAAUGAAUUUGUUGUUUUGGUAACAAGUGAGAUCUCAAUUUUAUUUCUUAAUUAUUUAAAUGAAUCUUGU